This 346-nucleotide ribosomal RNA is filed under the name uncultured Helicobacter sp. Its description in RNAcentral is "bacterial SSU rRNA". It matches the Rfam family "Bacterial small subunit ribosomal RNA", at positions 278 to 643 of the family's 1533-position model. Lineage: Bacteria; Pseudomonadati; Campylobacterota; Epsilonproteobacteria; Campylobacterales; Helicobacteraceae. The record is from RNAcentral.
GACGGGUAUCCGGCCUGAGAGGGUGAUCGGACACACUGGAACUGAGACACGGUCCAGACUCCUACGGAGGCAGCAGUAGGGAAUAUUGCUCAAUGGGGGAAACCCUGAAGCAGCAACGCCGCGUGGAGGAUGAAGGUUUUAGGAUUGUAAACUCCUUUUGUGAGAGAAGAUAAUGACGGUAUCUCACGAAUAAGCACCGGCUAACUCCGUGCCAGCAGCCGCGGUAAUACGGAGGGUGCAAGCGUUACUCGGAAUCACUGGGCGUAAAGAGUGCGCAGGCGGGCUUGUAAGUCAGAUGUGAAAUCCUGUAGCUUAACUACAGAACUGCAUUGAAACUAUGAGUCUA